This 378-nucleotide unclassified non-coding RNA is filed under the name uncultured Acidobacteriota bacterium. RNAcentral describes it as "uncultured Acidobacteria bacterium contains 16S-23S intergenic spacer region". Lineage: Bacteria; Pseudomonadati; Acidobacteriota. The record is from RNAcentral.
UCCGGCUUAACGCCGGCAGUCCCCCCAGAGUCCCCGGCCGAACCGCUGGCAACUGGGAGCGAGAGUUGCGCUCGUUGCGGGACUUAACCCAACAUCUCACGACACGAGCUGACGACAGCCAUGCAGCACCUGUCUCCAGGUUCCCGAAGGCACCCCCACAUCUCUGCAGGGUUCCUGGGAUGUCAAGACCAGGUAAGGUUCUUCGCGUUGCCUCGAAUUAAACCACAUGCUCCACCGCUUGUGCGGGUCCCCGUCAAUUCCUUUGUGUUUCAGUCUUGCGACCGUACUCCCCAGGCGGAAUGCUUAAAGCGUUAGCGACGGCACCCGGGGACUAUAUAACCCCAGACACCAAGCAUUCAUCGUUUAAGGCUAGGACUA